GGCGUCGUAGCCAAGUGGUAAGGCCGCGGUCUGCAAAACCGCUAUGCACCAGUUCGAAUCUGGUCGACGCCUCUA
RNAcentral lists this transfer RNA (75 nucleotides) under Chloroflexota bacterium. RNAcentral's name for it is "tRNA-Cys". It matches the Rfam family "tRNA". From Rfam's summary of the family: Transfer RNA (tRNA) molecules are approximately 80 nucleotides in length. Their secondary structure includes four short double-helical elements and three loops (D, anti-codon, and T loops). Further hydrogen bonds mediate the characteristic L-shaped molecular structure. tRNAs have two regions of fundamental functional importance: the anti-codon, which is responsible for specific mRNA codon recognition, and the 3' end, to which the tRNAs corresponding amino acid is attached (by aminoacyl-tRNA synthetases). tRNAs cope with the degeneracy of the genetic code in two manners: having more than one tRNA (with a specific anti-codon) for a particular amino acid; and 'wobble' base-pairing, i.e. permitting non-standard base-pairing at the 3rd anti-codon position. RNAcentral also lists the same sequence under 1 other name. The record is from RNAcentral. Lineage: Bacteria; Bacillati; Chloroflexota.